GAAGGACCUGCUUGUCUCGAGUGAAGACUAGCACUCCGGCAAAACCUCGUGGCAGCGCUGGGAAAAUCGCACGUGCAGAUACCGCCAGAAACCCAGCCGCUCUCCCUCGCUGCUCCCUGCUAGCCUCUCAUCCUCAGUGGCCGCCAUGCUGCUCCGGAAGAGACGUCCGCCUCGACC
RNAcentral lists this non-coding RNA (177 nucleotides) under Pongo abelii (Sumatran orangutan). Lineage: Eukaryota; Metazoa; Chordata; Mammalia; Primates; Hominidae. The record is from RNAcentral.